RNAcentral lists this small RNA (1332 nucleotides) under uncultured bacterium. RNAcentral's name for it is "bacterial SSU rRNA". The stretch from base 1 to 456 matches the Rfam family "Bacterial small subunit ribosomal RNA", at positions 1064 to 1533 of the family's 1533-position model. The record is from RNAcentral.
GUCGUGAGAUGUUGGGUUAAGUCCCGCAACGAGCGCAACCCCUACUGUGUGUUGUAUCACUCACACGGGACUGCCGAGAGAAACUCGGAGGAAGGUGGGGAUGACGUCAAGUCAGCAUGGCCCUUACGUCCUGGGCUACACCCACGCUACAAUGGCCGGUACAACGGGCUGCAAAACCGCGAGGUGGAGCUAAUCCCUUAAAGCCGGUCUCAGUUCGGAUUGUAGGCUGCAACUCGCCUACAUGAAGCCGGAGUUGCUAGUAACCGCCGGUCAGCAUACGGCGGUGAAUAUGUUCCCGGGCCUUGUACACACCGCCCGUCACGUCAUGAAAGCUGGCAACACCCGAAGCCGGUGGGCCAACCGCAAGGAGGCAGCCGUCGAAGGUGGGGUUGGUGAUUGGGGACGAAGUCGUAACAAGGUAGCCGUACCGGAAGGUGCGGCUGGAUCACCUCCUUUCUAGGGAGAUCCGAGUCUCGGCCUUUUGGUGGGGUCGAGGCGUUGAUGGCUCCUAGGGUUGAUCGCACGGUCGCUCGAGUCUCCCCGCCAGGUGGAGCUCGUCGGAGACGAUCCGCAAGGAUCGCGACCGGAGACCGAUACGCGACCUGGAAAGAACACCGAACCCAUUCGAACAUCCCGAACGCGGUAUUUCCUGUCACUCUUCAAGGGUUGAGGUGCAGCCGUCCGCGGGCGACGACCGAGUCGUCGAUCCAGGGCCUGGCCGCCACCCGCGGCGGGCGUUUAGCUCAGCUGGUUAGAGCACUGCCCUGAUAAGGCAGAGGUCUCUGGUUCGAGUCCAGAAACGCCCACCAUUCCACCCACCCACCUGACGUCGGGGACGUAGCUCAGCUGGUAGAGCAUCUCCUUUGCAAGGAGAGGGUCAGGAGUUCGAGUCUCCUCGUCUCCACCACCUUCGCUCCCGAGUCAGGCGCAAUCGAACAGUUCGGGUCCAUCCCCGAGGCCAUCGCAGAAAGUCGGGGACCAACGCGCAUCGAACCCCUGAUCCGUGACCUUCCCGCGAGGGACGAGGUCACCGACCAGCGGAUCGCUGGGCGGCGGAUCGGCGUGGGCCGGCCCGCCCGGGCUCGCUCGAGAGAGCGAGCGCACCUUAACAACUGGAUAUGUUUCGGCAGAUUGAAGAUCUUCGAUUUCGCCGAGUAGUCAAGGAAAUGAUCCCGAUCGAUCCCAUCCGUCGCUGGCCGCCUGGUCAGAGGCUGGAGGGGGUCAAGCUACAAAGGGCACGGGGUGGAUGCCUUGGCGCCAAGAGCCGAUGAAGGACGUGGCAGGCUGCGAAAAGCUCCGGGGAGUCGCGAGCAGACUUUGAUCCGGAGAUGU